Molecule: long non-coding RNA, 169 nt
Organism: Myotis davidii
Lineage: Eukaryota; Metazoa; Chordata; Mammalia; Chiroptera; Vespertilionidae
Exons: 2
Source: RefSeq, a predicted model, not a curated record
GCCUGUUGGUAUUUGCAAAGGUUCUCUGAGUCAAAGAUUUGAAGAAAAGAAGUUUGUCAAUAUAAAUUGUGACUUCUUUCAAUCACAGAAAAACGAAUCCACGCACUCACCCUCCAAAGAUGUGCUAAGCGGAUCUGUCCAGUAUCUUCCUGAUCUGGAUGAUGAAGAA